This 21-nucleotide unclassified non-coding RNA is filed under the name Chlamydomonas reinhardtii. Its description in RNAcentral is "small RNA Cre_3696". Lineage: Eukaryota; Viridiplantae; Chlorophyta; Chlorophyceae; Chlamydomonadales; Chlamydomonadaceae. The record is from RNAcentral.
UGUUUGCAAACUGCACGCCAG